RNAcentral lists this ribosomal RNA (412 nucleotides) under uncultured Geobacter sp. Its description in RNAcentral is "bacterial SSU rRNA". It matches the Rfam family "Bacterial small subunit ribosomal RNA", at positions 506 to 916 of the family's 1533-position model. The record is from RNAcentral. Lineage: Bacteria; Pseudomonadati; Thermodesulfobacteriota; Desulfuromonadia; Geobacterales; Geobacteraceae.
UGUCAGCAGCCGCGGUAAUACGGAGGGUGCAAGCGUUGUUCGGAUUUAUUGGGCGUAAAGCGCGUGUAGGCGGUUUGUUAAGUCUGAUGUGAAAGCCCUGGGCUCAACCUGGGAAGUGCAUUGGAAACUGGCAGACUUGAAUACGGGAGAGGGUAGUGGAAUUCCUAGUGUAGGAGUGAAAUCCGUAGAUAUUAGGAGGAACACCGGUGGCGAAGGCGGCUACCUGGACCGAUAUUGACGCUGAGACGCGAAAGCGUGGGGAGCAAACAGGAUUAGAUACCCUGGUAGUCCACGCCGUAAACGAUGAGAACUAGGUGUUGCGGGUAUUGACCCCUGCAGUGCCGCAGCUAACGCAUUAAGUUCUCCGCCUGGGAAGUACGGUCGCAAGACUAAAACUCAAAGAAAUUGACGG